AGCUCAGCUGGUUAGAGCACGGCACUCAUAAUGCCGGGGUCGGUGGUUCAAGUCCACCC
RNAcentral lists this transfer RNA (59 nucleotides) under Arenicellales bacterium. RNAcentral's name for it is "tRNA-Met". It matches the Rfam family "tRNA", at positions 9 to 64 of the family's 71-position model. Rfam says of the family: Transfer RNA (tRNA) molecules are approximately 80 nucleotides in length. Their secondary structure includes four short double-helical elements and three loops (D, anti-codon, and T loops). Further hydrogen bonds mediate the characteristic L-shaped molecular structure. tRNAs have two regions of fundamental functional importance: the anti-codon, which is responsible for specific mRNA codon recognition, and the 3' end, to which the tRNAs corresponding amino acid is attached (by aminoacyl-tRNA synthetases). tRNAs cope with the degeneracy of the genetic code in two manners: having more than one tRNA (with a specific anti-codon) for a particular amino acid; and 'wobble' base-pairing, i.e. permitting non-standard base-pairing at the 3rd anti-codon position. The record is from RNAcentral. Lineage: Bacteria; Pseudomonadati; Pseudomonadota; Gammaproteobacteria; Arenicellales.